AGUGAACGUUGGCGGCGUGGAUUGGGCAUGCAAGUCGUACGGUAAGCUUCGGCUUAUAGUGGCGAAAGGGAGAGUAACGCGUGGUUACAUGCCCUCGGGACCGGGAUAGCGGCGGGAAACUGCCGGUAAUACCGGAUAAUAUCUUUGGAUCAAAGGUAUGAUUCCGCCCGAGGAUUGGACCGCGUUCUAUUAGCUUGUUGGCGGGGUAAUGGCCCACCAAGGCGACGAUGGAUACCGGGUGUGAGAGCAUGGCCCGGCUCACUGGGACUGAGACACUGCCCAGACACCUACGGGUGGCUGCAGUCGAGAAUCUUCGGCAAUGGGGGCAACCCUGACCGAGCGACGCCGCGUGCGGGACGAAGGCCUUCGGGUUGUAAACCGCUGUCAGUUGGGAGGAAGUGCCGGGGGGUUCUCCCCUCGGUUUGACCGAUCUUCAGAGGAAGGACGGGCUAAGUUCGUGCCAGCCGCCGCAGUAA
This 476-nucleotide ribosomal RNA is filed under the name uncultured bacterium. Its description in RNAcentral is "partial 16S ribosomal RNA". It matches the Rfam family "Bacterial small subunit ribosomal RNA", at positions 28 to 523 of the family's 1533-position model. The record is from RNAcentral.